UAGAUGACGGGCCGCACAGCGGUGGAGCAUGUUGGUUUAAUUCGAAGCAACGCGAAGAACCUUACCAGGUCUUGACAUCCCGAUGCUAUUUCUAGAGAUAGAAAGUUACUUCGGUACAUCGGUGACAGGUGGUGCAUGGUUGUCGUCAGCUCGUGUCGUGAGAUGUUGGGUUAAGUCCCGCAACGAGCGCAACCCCUAUUGUUAGUUGCCAUCAUUCAGUUGGGCACUCUAGCGAGACUGCCGGUAAUAAACCGGAGAAGUGGGGAUGACGUCAAAUCAUCAUGCCCCUUAUGACCUGGGCUACACACGUGCUACAAUGGUUGGUACAACGAGUUGCGAGUCGGUGACGGCGAGCUAAUCUCUUAAAGCCAAUCUCAGUUCGGAUUGUAGGCUGCAACUCGCCUACAUGAAGUCGGAAUCGCUAGUAAUCGCGGAUCAGCACGCCGCGGUGAAUACGUUCCCGGGCCUU
RNAcentral lists this ribosomal RNA (469 nucleotides) under uncultured Streptococcus sp. RNAcentral's name for it is "bacterial SSU rRNA". It matches the Rfam family "Bacterial small subunit ribosomal RNA", at positions 918 to 1380 of the family's 1533-position model. The record is from RNAcentral. Lineage: Bacteria; Bacillati; Bacillota; Bacilli; Lactobacillales; Streptococcaceae.